AACAAUCAGGGGUAUAUUCAUUACACCGAUUAUUUUGCAAACCGUUUAGUCUGCUGCAAAACGUUUUGCGACAAACCGUUUACUCCGAAUGGAAAACGUUUUAUAACGAAAACGAGUUUAUGGACAAAUUGACUUGGGUCCCCGAUCUGUCUGUUUGCCGUCUGAUUCUUAAACGGUUAACUGUCCAGUUACAAGACGUAAUGAAUAGAACCCGGGCGUUGGCCUUCGUGUCAAUUAUCUACAAUAAUUACUCUUCCUACUAGUGCCACUAUCACAUGCCUCGGUCUGGAACAAACCGUCUUCACUGUUAGUUACCAAGUAAAACUGUAGUUAUUAGUGAUGGGAAUUCCGGCUCUUUUCAGUGAACCAAGAGCCUGGUCUUUAGGCUCACAAACGGCUCUUUAAAAAAAAUGUUUUCACAGCUGUCCUUCCUCUCUCUCCUCGGCUGCCAAGUGUGUGACUGAGAGUGAGUUGGCUCCGCCCUCCCUCACGCAUCUUUGGAUCAUUGGUUGACACUGCGUGUCUGAUUGACAGGAACAACAGGAGGACCUGAGCCCUAGGACCAUGCCUCAGUACUACCUGGCCCAAUGACUCC
Molecule: long non-coding RNA, 595 nt
Organism: Oncorhynchus tshawytscha (Chinook salmon)
Lineage: Eukaryota; Metazoa; Chordata; Actinopteri; Salmoniformes; Salmonidae
Exons: 3
Source: RefSeq, a predicted model, not a curated record